Molecule: ribosomal RNA, 233 nt
Filed under: uncultured bacterium
Lineage: Bacteria
Description: partial 16S ribosomal RNA
Rfam family: Bacterial small subunit ribosomal RNA
Source: RNAcentral
UGGGUGACCUGCCCUCAGCUCUGGGAUAAGCCUGGGAAACUGGGUCUAAUACCGGAUAUGACUCCUCAUCGCAUGGUGGGGGGUGGAAAGCUUUUUUGUGGUUUUGGAUGGACUCGCGGCCUAUCAGCUUGUUGGUGAGGUAAUGGCUCACCAAGGCGACGACGGGCAGCCGGCCUGAGAGGGUGACCCGGCCACACGUGGGACUGAGACACGGCCCAGACCUCCGUACGGGA